AAUCAAACCCAGCAUUCCCUUUGUGAUAUGGAACCUUGUAGUAAAAUUUCAUAAAGAUCCAUACACUUACACACAAGUUACUGUCAUGAAACUAGAAAAAUGCUUGUUUUUUGCCCCUUUUUGGCCCCUAAUUCCUAAAAUUUGGAGGCAAUUACCCCCAAAAUCAAUCCCAGCAUUCCCUUUGUGAUAUGGAACCUUGUGGUACAAUGUCAGAGAGAUCCAUACACUUACACACAAGUUAUUGUCAUGAAACUAGAAAAAUGCUUGUUUUUUGCCCCUUUUUGGCCCCUUAUUCCUAAAAUUUGGAGGCAAUUACCCCCAAAAUCAAUCCCAGCAUUCCCUUUGUGAUAUGGAACCUUGUGGUACAAUGUCAGAGAGAUCCAUACACUUACACACAAGUUAUGUCUGGAAGUUACAAAAAUGCUUAAUUUUUGGCCCCUAAUUCCUUAACUGUUGGUACCAUAACCCCCAAAAUCAAU
Long non-coding RNA from Mytilus californianus (California mussel), 479 nucleotides. RefSeq lists it as uncharacterized. NCBI's taxonomy places the organism in Eukaryota, Metazoa, Mollusca, Bivalvia, Mytilida, Mytilidae. The transcript has 2 exons. The record is from RefSeq and is a predicted model, not a curated record.